RNAcentral lists this ribosomal RNA (488 nucleotides) under uncultured bacterium. RNAcentral's name for it is "bacterial SSU rRNA". It matches the Rfam family "Bacterial small subunit ribosomal RNA", at positions 28 to 511 of the family's 1533-position model. The record is from RNAcentral.
GAUGAACGCUAGCGGCAGGCUUAAUACAUGCAAGUCGUGGGGCAGCAUGAGUAGCAAUACUUGAUGGCGACCGGCAAACGGGUGAGGAACACGUACACAACCUUCCUUCAAGCGGGGAAUAGCCCAGAGAAAUUUGGAUUAAUACCCCAUAAUAUAUUUGAUAAGGCAUCUUAUUAAUAUUAAAGCUUCGGCACUUGAUGAUGGGUGUGCGGCUGAUUAGAUAGUUGGCGGGGUAACGGCCCACCAAGUCUACGAUCAGUAGCUGAUGUGAGAGCAUGAUCAGCCACACGGGCACUGAGACACGGGCCCGACUCCUACGGGAGGCAGCAGUAAGGAAUAUUGGACAAUGGACGAAAGUCUGAUCCAGCCAUGCCGCGUGAAGGAUUAAGGUCCUCUGGAUUGUAAACUUCUUUUAUAUGGGACGAAAAAGGGCAUUCUUGUUCACUUGACAGUACCAUAUGAAUAAGCACCGGCUAACUCCGUGCCAG